This 125-nucleotide small RNA is filed under the name Escherichia coli. RNAcentral's name for it is "RtT RNA". It matches the Rfam family "RtT RNA". Rfam says of the family: This family represents a bacterial cis-regulatory element known as RtT RNA. The exact function of RtT is unknown although it is thought that it may be involved in changing the cellular response in relation to amino acid starvation. Lineage: Bacteria; Pseudomonadati; Pseudomonadota; Gammaproteobacteria; Enterobacterales; Enterobacteriaceae. The record is from RNAcentral.
UUGCUAUCUGCGAUACUCAAGAUUCGAACCUGCAGCAGGUUCGAGUUGAGCGCAGCGAAACAACGGAGCCGCUCGCGGCGAGGCCCGAAGGGCGAGCGAAGCGAGUCAUCCUGCACGACCCACCA